Non-coding RNA from Chiloscyllium plagiosum (whitespotted bambooshark), 1138 nucleotides. NCBI's taxonomy places the organism in Eukaryota, Metazoa, Chordata, Chondrichthyes, Orectolobiformes, Hemiscylliidae. The record is from RefSeq and is a predicted model, not a curated record.
CACACUCCCACUGAAACCUGGUCCACACACACACACUCGUUCAUAUGCUGUGUAUCUGCUCCAUCUCUCUCUCUUGUUUACAGUGACACUGAAUCAUUGCUGUUUUGGUUGUGACAAGUAUAGUUUACCAUGUCAAACUAAUGCGUUGUUUGUUUAUCUGUCUUGACGCUGCACCAGGUUAUGCUAUUACAUGUUACACAUGUGACUCUGACAAUGACUUGUUGUGUUCGAAGGAGAAGUGUCCAGCAAACUUCAAUGUCUGUCUGAAUGUUACACAAGCUUCUCACAGGUUGUUACGUCGCUGUUGGACUGAUCGGGAAUGUCAUGUCAAGGCGGUGAAGGCUGAGUACAGCAGGGAUUUGGAUUUCACCUUCAGCUGCUGUAACUGGGACCUCUGCAACUCCCGAAGUGGCAGCUCCAGGGUAGCUGGGACCCUCAGCCUGCUGGCUAUCCUCGCUCCUGUUGCUGGGUGGCAUAGUGCCAGCUUCUGAAACUGGAGUCAAGUGUGACCACAGCAUGCCUCCUGAAACAGAAGGCUGGCCUCUGAAAGCGUUUCCAAAUGCACCAAAUUGUAUCUGCCGGAUAUAACCAUGUUUGAGAGUAUGAUUUUAUAACAGUCUGUCCCUUCCCCAUUAUUUCUGACAUUAUUCCCGUUUGGUAAACUAACCCAGAAGGGGAGGUCACUGGCGUCCUGUCUUUAGUAUGGGAGUGUUCAGGAUGUGUGCUUGCCCUCAGGAUCUCUCCACUUCCCUGCAUUUAACAGAGCUUCAGUCAGCCACUGCCAACUCUUAGAACUCCAGUUGCGUUUUAAACACUAAACUCCUUUGCUUUAUCUUUCAUAAUCUAUAGCUGCCUGGCCUAGCUACUGCUAUAACAUGGCACCACACAGCCCAAGGUGGACCUAUACCAGUGGGUAAUCCCUGACUAGGAAGAUGCCUAUGUUAAACUACAAUAGACAAGAUUGAGUGGCUGAGCCUUGUCUAAACCCCAUAUGCACUAGAAUCUGUGAAACAGUUUAGAGCUCAUACAUCUGUAACGCAACAUAGAUGAUGUUGAAUGAAGCAGCUAGCUGAUGCUUUUGUAUUAAGCAUUUGACAACUUCCGUCAAUUGAACAAUAAAAGUCAUCUUUUGGGAUGA